UACGGAGGGGGCAAGCGUUAUUCGGAAUUAUUGGGCGUGAAGGGCGCGUAGGCGGCUAGAUGUGUCAAAGGUGAAAUCCCUCGGCUCAACUGAGGAACUGCCUUUGAAACUGUCUGGCUUGAGGCCGGGAGAGGGUAGCGGAAUUCCCAGUGUAGCGGUGAAAUGCGUAGAUAUUGGGAGGAACACCAGUGGCGAAGGCGGCUACCUGGACCGGUUCUGACGCUGAGGCGCGAAAGCGUGGGGAGCAAACAGG
This 253-nucleotide ribosomal RNA is filed under the name uncultured bacterium. RNAcentral's name for it is "partial 16S ribosomal RNA". It matches the Rfam family "Bacterial small subunit ribosomal RNA", at positions 524 to 776 of the family's 1533-position model. The record is from RNAcentral.